GUAAGGGAAGAAGAGGGAGAAGAAAGACAGGAGAGAGUGAGACAGGAGGCGGGGGAGGAGGCUUCUGUGCGCUGAUUACUAAUGCAAUGCGGUGGAGAGCUCAGCAGGUUCUGUGGGGAAGCAUUUAUUGUGCAGGAGAAAGCAGGCAGCGUGUUCAAAAAGCUGUCUCCCGGCUCUGCAGCCAAGCUGGAGGGGAGGAGAGGGCCCUGCAGGGUUUGGGGGCUGCUCUGCCUCUGAGAUGCAGGACAGUCUGCACCUCCCACUCCAGGGGAAUCUAAUCCACUCAGGCCAAGGGAGGAAAGAGGAGGCGGCCCGAGGCCACACUGUCCAAGGGGGUCGCCAUCCGACUCUGAAGCCUGGAGACCCUGGAGCCCCAGAGUGAGUCUUCCCGAGGCCGUGACCAGAGGGCUGACGUCUGCAUCUGCUGACUUCCACGGGACCUUAUCUUCAGACCGGCCUCUUCGGAGGGGCAGCAUCUACACCGAGAAGGAUGUCAGCAUGUGCGUGGAGGGCUGGAACCGCGCCUUCUUCAGCAUGGAUCAGAGACCGGCCAAGAGCUCUGGCAGCAGAGUCAGCUAGAGGCCAGCUGUGCUCCGGACAGGAUCAGAAGCUGGCUGUCUGUGCUUCCUUCCUUUUGCUCCUCCUCUUCAUCAGAUCCUUCUUUGUCCCUGAAAGCCAGGCCGAUGCCCAGCAGUGCACAUUCUCUUGCCCCUCCGUUCCUCUGAGGUGGCCGCAGUCUGAAGCCCCUCUGGGCCCCCUUGUGCCUGAACUGAGACACACAAGUAGAAAAGGACUCCGCAGACGGCUGCACCCGUGGUGCAAGAGGAGGCCCCGAGGCUGUUUGCUCCAGCACCUGAGCCUGGAAGGGAACACAGAAGACCGAGGGAGGAGACUCUGAGGCUGCCGGAGCCCGGAGACCGUGAAGCGGCUGGCCGCGGCAGAGGCGACCUUGAGACAGAGGAGAACCAGAGUGGAGCGGG
This 980-nucleotide long non-coding RNA is filed under the name Heterocephalus glaber (naked mole-rat). RNAcentral's name for it is "lncRNA (ENSHGLG00000040076.1)". Lineage: Eukaryota; Metazoa; Chordata; Mammalia; Rodentia; Bathyergidae. The record is from RNAcentral.